Molecule: long non-coding RNA, 692 nt
Filed under: Brachypodium distachyon (stiff brome)
Lineage: Eukaryota; Viridiplantae; Streptophyta; Magnoliopsida; Poales; Poaceae
Description: long non-coding RNA (BDIS_LNC003550)
Source: RNAcentral
AAAACGCUUUAAAAGACUUUGUUUCAAUUUAAACCCUAGGGUUUACGCCCAUUUGAGCUUUGGAUUUUCAAACCAAUGAGGUUUACUUAUAAAAGGGGUUUAUUGCAUAAAUAAGCUAUCCCAUAAUUUUUGGAUAACUAUUUGGAGUUGAAAAAGUAUUUUAUUUAAAUAGUUAUAUAGCCCUAAAGGCAUUUAUAGGGCAAAUGUAUUUUUAGAUAUUUUAUUUUGAGGGGAAAUUACUCCCAAAAGUUGAAUCAUAGUAAAACAUGAUUUUACAAAUUUUCUGGAAUUUAUUUGGACCAAUUUGGAGUUCAAAAUCAAAAGUUAUCAAAGAAAUAAGAAAAACAGAAAAAGAAAAGGGCUAAAACAAAAAAAAGGGAAAAAGAAAAGAAAAAAAAAGAGAACCGGACCGGUCCUACCGCUUGGGCCGAACCGGCCCAGAACCGACCGCGCCCGACCGCACGCGAGCUGGCCCAACCAGCCCGGUCCGCCCGCGCGCGCGCCCGCUGCCAUUGACGCGUGGGACCCACGCGUUAGGCUUCGUCUUCGUUCGGAAAGCCGGCCGCCGAAUCCGCGCCGGACACCGCGCCGCUGCAAUCUCCGUCCCCGCUAACUCCGGCCUUCCCGAAGUGCCCCGCCCGCGUCAUUAUAAAGCUCUGCCCCUCCUCUUUUUUUUCCCUCUUCUCGCCGCC